CGCGGUUAUACCAAGUGAUUAAGUUAUAUUUUUAGGUAAAAAGAUAGUUAGGUUUAUAAAGUAAUUUUAGUUUAUUGAACAUCUAUAAAAAAGUAAAAUUUGUAUAUAGAUAGCUAAUCUAAUAAUGACUAUAAUCAUACUGAAGCUAUGAAAGUCUUGAGGGAAACUGGGAUUAGAUACCCCAUUAUUCUUGAUUAUAAAUAUAAUUAAAUUUACCAGAGUACUAUGAAUAGUUAAAAAUUUAAAACUCAAAGGGCUUGGCGGUGUUUUAGACCCAUCAGGGGAACCUGUCUCAUAAUCGACAAUCCACGUAAUAUCCAACCUUAUUUUGUAAUCAGUUUGUAUACCGUCGUCGUCAGGUAACUUUUAAAAACAAAGAAGUUAGCAAUUAAAAUUAAUUUGAAUUAAAACGUCAGAUCAAGGUGCAGCCUAUAAUGAGGAGAGGAUGGGUUACAAUUAUAAAAAUUAUAAUUACGGAAAUUUAAAUGAAACUUAUUUUGAAGGAGGACUUGAAAGUAAACUAAAAUACAUAAAUAGUUUGAAUAAGGCUCUG
This 553-nucleotide ribosomal RNA is filed under the name Nassarius papillosus. Its description in RNAcentral is "partial 12S ribosomal RNA". Lineage: Eukaryota; Metazoa; Mollusca; Gastropoda; Neogastropoda; Nassariidae. The record is from RNAcentral.